CUCUCUCCUAUUUAUUCGAGCUGUUAAGGCUCUCUCCUCUCUCUCUCUCUCUCUCUCUUCUCUCUCCUACUUAUUUACGUACGUACUUAGUACGUCUCUCCUCUCUCUCUCUCUCUCUCUCUCUCUCUCUCCUAUUUAUUCGAGCUGUUAAGGCCCCCAUGUGUGUCCUCGGAAGGAGCUGUAUAUGUACAUAAAAAAUUGUUCGAUUCUCUCGUCAUCGUUUAAUAUAUGAACAUAUAUAUAUAUGAGGUUACCUCCUUUCUCUCUC
Molecule: long non-coding RNA, 268 nt
Filed under: Amborella trichopoda
Lineage: Eukaryota; Viridiplantae; Streptophyta; Magnoliopsida; Amborellales; Amborellaceae
Description: long non-coding RNA (ATRI_LNC002379)
Source: RNAcentral